This is a long non-coding RNA of Panicum virgatum (switchgrass), 3045 nucleotides long. RefSeq lists it as uncharacterized. The record is from RefSeq and is a predicted model, not a curated record. Lineage: Eukaryota; Viridiplantae; Streptophyta; Magnoliopsida; Poales; Poaceae. The transcript is spliced from 2 exons.
AAGUCUUAGGCGUUCCCAUUCUUAUUCGGCCACGGCCUCCCCGGAUGCCUGCGAGCAGAUCGAGAGGGGGCCGGCGAGCAGGGCGUGCGGCGCGCAGCGGGUGUGUGCAUCUUGUCGGGUUGGCGAUCCGAGCAGGGGAGGCGGGGGGGCUGGCGGCUGGGAGAGCGGGCCUCAUCGGGGACGGCGGCGGCACCGCGAACAGCUGGCCUCCUCGCGGCAGCCCGGGCGGAGACUGCGGGCGCGCGCGGCGGGUGGUGUCCGCGCGAUGGCGCUGGCGCUGCGUGGCAGAGGAGGCCCGCCGCUGCCCCCACGCGCGUCUCCGUCCACGACGCUCGCCGGCACCUCCGCAUCUGCUCACUGCGCCAUUUCCGCAUCUGCUCGCCGCGUCAUCUCUGCAUCUGCUCGCCACUGUUGGUCGCAUCGAGGCAGGCUCCCUCUUCCAGUACGCAGGCGGGGAUGGGGCGGAGGCGGAGGGGUGGAGGCGAUGGGUCGGAGGUGGCGGGGUGGAUGUCUCCUUGAUUCCACCCGCCCCCUUGGCCGGCCUCCUCGAGCUUCGACAGGCAUGCACGUCCCACGGCAUUGCCGGAGAUUUGCGCCUCCCUCCUUUGUAAAUUUUUUAGGUUUGCAAUUUAACAGUGCACAUUACAUUUCACGUUUAUGCACCAUAUGUUUAAGUACUUUGUAUCAGAAUAUAUUUUUUGCAAGGAGUUGUUUAUUUCGAAUUGUACAUUUAUUUGAGAUGGUGACUUUUGAAACAUCAAAUUCAUAUCCGUACAUUAUAUUUUCUUAAUUGAUUAGAAGAUCUCCUUGUACACAAUGUUUUUGGCUUUACUCUGUCCGUGGAAUUCAGAGUCAUCGAUGAGCACCUUCAGCCCUUUCCUGUUUGUGACCCUAGAUAAUGCCAUAUAUAACUGACCAUGGCAGUAAACCUGUUUGGACAAAUAUAAUCCAACUGUUUUUAGAGAUUGGCCCUGGCUCUUAUUGAUUGUCAUUGCGAAACACACCGUUAGGGGAUACUGUCUUCUUUUCAGCACAAACGGCCACUUAGAUUCACUUGGCGACAUGUUGAUUUGAGGAGCAUCACCGGAAGGCCGACUUUCAGUCUAAGCUCAUGGUUUGGGAUUCCAGGGAACUUCAAGCUGUUGAGGAAUUCCGUUGGGUAUAUAUGCUCUAUGCUUUUGCUUGUAGUUGCUUUGCACACAUUGUCUGAGCUAAGGUAUGUUACUUCUUCACCUUCUAUUUGGCUCAUUAUGUACUCAUUUAUCUCUUCUACCGUUUUGUUUUCUGGGCAUAGUAUAGCUCUUUCCUCGAGGAAUUUUGGGUCUCGGUAGUUGUUGAAAAGGUCUGGAUAGGUGCUUUUUACGAUUGUUUCUUUGGUUCAUCUCCCGUGUCUAGCAUCAGAUCACUUGGGAUUUGGAUCCACUCGUCUCCUUCAUCUGAUGUUGUGGUCCCAUCACCUAUAUUCAGUAUCCACUCAGCGAAUUCCUUGUUCUCCUGCUGCUGUUUUGUAUCGUUUGAUAUACAGCUAAGCCUCAUGUUCUCUGUGAGCUCGUAAAUUUCAAAGUGGUUCCAAAGAUAUGAUCGCUUGAUAGAUGCGUUCACUAUGUGUUCUCUCCUCCCUUUUGGAAUGACCGGAAGGAUUUGUCGGAAGUCUCCUCCUAGCACAAUGGUCAUCCCACCAAAUGGUUUUUUAUCGCUUUUGUCAUUGUUAAAUAUGAGUAUUUCCCUGAGGCUUUUGUCUAGUGCCUCGAAGCAUUUUCUGUUAGCCAUUGGAGCUUCGUCCCACAAAAUUAGAGAGGUCUUUUUCAGCAGCUCUGCAAGAUGAGUUCCUUGCUUGAUUUCGCAUGUUGAUUCAUCUAUUAUGUUAAUUGGAAUUCUGAAUCUCGAGAUUUAGAGAUCUUCCUUUCGUCGUUGUUGAAUUCUUUUCUAUAGAUCCACUUGUAUCAUUGUUGAUUUGUUCGCCAUCACAAUCUUUGUCUGAGUCAUCUUCCACAAUCAGUGCUCUACGUCUUCUUUUAUUUAAAGUAUUGAGUUUCUUCGUUGUUGAAUCUUCUUCUUUAGAUCCACUUGUAUAAUUGCUGAUUUGUUUGCCAUCCUCUGAUUCUUCAAUACUUGCAACCAUGCCUGAUAACGUUUUGAUAGAUGAACCACUUGUGACAUGUUCCUGCAGAAGACAAUUAUCAUAGUAUCAAAUACAUAAAAAGAUUAUUAUUUUAGGAUAAAGAUAAAGAAAAAUGUGUUUACCUCAACUUGAUCAUCAAAAUGUUUCAUCUCAAGCUUAUCAUUUAGCUCAAAUGUUCUUUUAACUAAAUAGUAUUCAUUUCCUUCUGUCAAGUUAUGGUCACUGAGCUUGAAUCGAAAGAUAAGUGUUUUUCCACAAAGCUGUUGUAUGCUCUUAGGAACCUCUUCAUAAUUUCCAUUAAGUGAAUCUAGCAUGUUAGUGAUUGUUGUCUUGAGCAUUCUUUGUGCUUUGUCGUCAAAUAUACUGCAGGUAGUGCUUGUUAUGUAGUCACUAAUUUGGAGCCGAAUCCAAUAUCUGUCAUAUCAAAGUUGUCAAUGUAAUGUCACGAUAAUGAAUAAUAAAUGUAAAAUAUUAUUUGGCACAAUGUUAUUACCUAGGAGUUGUUGCUUCAGGACAUGUAUUGCACUUACUGCAAUGAUAUUUGUUGGCUAUUUUAGUGCACAUUUUAUUGCAAACAUUGCAUGACAUGUAUCACCACAUAUCAUUGUCUAGUCGAACAAUUGUGGCCCUUGAUGUAAAAACAAAAUACUGCAAUGUAAAAUGUCAUGGAAAAGUUUUGAACAACAAAAGGUUAUUUAACAAUCAAGAAAUAAAAAAAUGAAAUUCAUGAAUUACCUGAUUUGUUGGGUUCUCGUGCCUCAUUUGGGUAAUUUCCUAUAAAGUUCUCCUAUUAUAAAACAUUUGAUCCUCUAAUGUACCUUGUGUACUUUUGUCUACCUCCAUUAGUUUUGGUACAUUUUCUUCAUAUGGAACACUAAAAUAUAUGUGGUAUUAGGACAAGAAGAAUAAAUAAGCAUAAGAAA